This 255-nucleotide ribosomal RNA is filed under the name uncultured bacterium. RNAcentral describes it as "partial 16S ribosomal RNA". It matches the Rfam family "Bacterial small subunit ribosomal RNA", at positions 524 to 777 of the family's 1533-position model. The record is from RNAcentral.
UACGUAGGGUGCAAGCGUUAAUCGGAAUUACUGGGCGUAAAGCGUGCGCAGGCGGUUAUGUAAGACAGGUGUGAAAUCCCAGGGCUUAACCUUGGAACUGCAUUUGUGACUGCAUAGCUAGAGUACGGUAGAGGGGGAUGGAAUUCCGCGUGUAGCAGUGAAAUGCGUAGAUAUGCGGAGGAACACCGAUGGCGAAGGCAAUCCCCUGGACCUGUACUGACGCUCAUGCGACGAAAGCGUGGGGAGCAAACGAGG